AUGAACGCUAGCGACAGGCCUAACACAUGCAAGUCGAGGGGCAGCACAAGGAGCAAUCUGAGGUGGCGACCGGCGCACGGGUGAGUAACACGUAUGCAACCUGCCUGUAAGCGGGGAAUAACCCGUUGAAAGACGGACUAAUACCGCAUAAUACUAAAUUACUGCAUGGUAAUUUAUUUAAACAUUUAUGGCUUACAGAUGGGCAUGCGCAUGAUUAGCUAGUUGGAGAGGUAACGGCUCCCCAAGGCAACGAUCAUUAGGGGUUCUGAGAGGAAGGUCCCCCCACACUGGUACUGAGACACGGACCAGACUCCUACGGGAGGCAGCAGUGAGGAAUAUUGGUCAAUGGACGAGAGUCUGAACCAGCCAAGUCGCGUGCAGGAAGAAUUGUCCUAUGGAUCGUAAACUGCUUUUGCAGGGGAAUAAAGUGCAUCACGUGUGAUGUUUUGUAUGUACUCUGCGAAUAAGGAUCGGCUAACUCCGUGCCAGCCGCCGC
This 496-nucleotide ribosomal RNA is filed under the name uncultured bacterium. Its description in RNAcentral is "bacterial SSU rRNA". It matches the Rfam family "Bacterial small subunit ribosomal RNA", at positions 29 to 518 of the family's 1533-position model. The record is from RNAcentral.